CUACGGAACUCCUACGGGAGGCAGCAGUAGGGAAUCUUCCGCAAUGGACGAAAGUCUGACGGAGCAACGCCGCGUGAGUGAUGAAGGUUUUCGGAUCGUAAAACUCUGUUAUUAGGGAAGAACAAAUGUGUAAGUAACUGUGCACAUCUUGACGGUACCUAAUCAGAAAGCCACGGCUAACUACGUGCCAGCAGCCGCGGUAAUACGUAGGUGGCAAGCGUUAUCCGGAAUUAUUGGGCGUAAAGCGCGCGUAGGCGGUUUCUUAAGUCUGAUGUGAAAGCCCACGGCUCAACCGUGGAGGGUCAUUGGAAACUGGGAAACUUGAGUACAGAAGAGGAAAGUGGAAUUCCAUGUGUAGCGGUGAAAUGCGCAGAGAUAUGGAGGAACACCAGUGGCGAAGGCGACUUUCUGGUCUGUAACUGACGCUGAUGUGCGAAAGCGUGGGGAUCAAACAGGAUUAGAAACCCCGGUAGUCCUCUUCGA
RNAcentral lists this ribosomal RNA (483 nucleotides) under uncultured bacterium. RNAcentral describes it as "bacterial SSU rRNA". It matches the Rfam family "Bacterial small subunit ribosomal RNA", at positions 328 to 803 of the family's 1533-position model. The record is from RNAcentral.